UCUCCCCCUCCCCGAUCCACAGCACCCACGCUCCUCCCUCCUCCCUUCCUCCCUCACCCGCCGCCAUGCUCCCUCCCACCUUCUCCUCCUCCUUCUCCGCCCUAGAAGCCCGGCCGCCAACUGCUACUCCUCCACCGCCUCCCCUCUUCCUCCUCCUCACCUUUCAAUCGCUCGCACGCAGGCCACCCGACAACAGGGGCGGUCAGGAAGGCUUCCCAGCCUGAUGGAGGAGCACGCCGCCGCCGCAGGCCGCCUGUCCCGAUCCGCGUCCGUCCCGACGCAGCCUGGCGGAUCUUUCUCGGGAGGCAGCGAGAGUUGCAGGCACAACGGUCGGUGUGCAUGCGCUACUCAACUGGGUCGUCGUGGCCAGGCUUGGUCGUGGCCUCCUGGGCGCGUCAAUGGUCGGCAACGCCUCCUGGUGGCUCAUCAACAUGGCGCAGUUCGUGUACGUCGUCAGCGGCUCCUUCCCGAAGGCGUGGACGGGGUUCUCGCGCAAGGCGUUCGCCAGUCUUUGCGGCUUAGAGAUCUGUUACUACACGACAGUAAUCGACGCCAUGGCCGAGCAAGAGGAUUCCGUUGCUGUGCAUGACCUGGUCUUCAUUUUCUCCGCCUUGGACAGCACCAGCUGAGCUAUAGGUUGUUCGGAUCUGUUGUAUGAGGCAGUAAUGAAUAAGAACAAUAUCAGCCUUUUAAUGUGCAGGUUUAUGACUGCAUUACAUAUCUUGGUGGCUGGCUGUACAUGCCAUUUCAGUAGUUCAAUUAUGCAUUACCUGCAAUUAGUCAAGUGAUUAGUUAUUACCUGUAGUGUCUGGACCUUAUUUGGUUUGGUCAAUUUAGUCAUUCAUCAUCCAUUUUUCUAAAUUUAUUGGUAUUUUUAAUAUGUCAUUUGUGUCAGCACACUAAUGUCACAUCUUGUAAUUGUUUAUCUACCAGGAAAUCAUAUUAUUAAGAUGUCUCUGUUACUAAUGGAUAAUGAGUAAAAACUUCAUUUCUGAAUAUUAUAUGCAAAAACGUCUUCCUUUGUGCUGCCCCUGUGUCUUAGAAAUUCAUAGGGAGGAAGCUCUAGGAUAGAGGGUUUGACUUUUCUUUUCUGUUUUUUUGUAGCAUGAUGUGAUUAAUUUCUCCUGCAGCUAUGUCGUCAUUCCUUCAUUCACCAUAUGCAAAUCCUGGUCUUCAAUUUAUUUUAAUUUCCAUGAGUGACCUGGCAUUACUGUGAUGCUAUGCAAGCUUGGAGUGUAGAGUGAGUCAAAUAUGUAGUAGAUGCACUAAUUUGGCUCAUUGCCUCGCUUCACCAUUGUGUAGGUGCAAAACAUUUUUCCCUUGUGCUGAAUGUUUGCCACUGUUUUCCAUUUUGCUCAUUUUGAUCUAACCAAACGGACCCCAUCAAUUUGAGGUUGUCAUGCAUGUAAUGCUUGGGUAUGCCCUUAUUUGGAUCUAAAUAUAUGGAUGGUUGCUUUUUUUAUCAUUUUCAUCUAUAUACUUCACUUGACUAGCCAUUAGCGUUGUGGGUUGCUACCGAAUGAACAGUUUUUUUUAUUUGCAUUGUUUGUCAUUCUCGUGCUUAUUUUUUUUUAUUUCAGUUUGUAGGGAUUGUACGCUUCACCGUCUAAAAUAAAUCUAGCCAACAGGUGGUUGAGAGGCAUUUUGUGGUGCCACUAUUUUCUUUCAGGUUUAGGCACUUUGACUGCACUAACUUUAGCCAGAUGCUAUUCAGUACAACCUUCAUGUGCACCUUGACAUACAUGGAUAAUCUUGUACGUAAUUCCCUCUUUUUUAUUGAUGUGUGGUUUUAUCUGUGUGAUUAAUUCCAUCUCUUUUUACUUUUUCAUGUUAGGUACUACAUGUACUUUUUGUGAUUUCAAGGGUAAAUUACUAGCCAAUUUUGGUACUAGCCAAAUCAAAGAUUUAUGUCCUAAAAAGGAUUUGCUCAGCUUCAUGCAAUUGAAUUGUUAUCACAUAUUUACGAGCAAGCUCAUAUUUAUAUCUCCAUGAUCUCUUAACAGCGAGAAAAGGAAAGAUAACGGGAACAUCCAGUGAGCACUACUGAUGCCAUCAUGGAAACUCACUGCUCUUGUUUAAUUUUGUUUAUGUAGUCAACAUUUUGAUCAAAGGAUUCUCACGUGUUAGAAAACUGUACUCACAUAAAUCUGAGUAUUGGUCUAUGGAACUGGAGGUAGUGAGUUUCAAUUCUUAUGAAUUAAUGUUUCUUUAUUUAUUUAGAGCUUCUGUUCAGAUCAUUGACGUUUGCAUAUCCCUGUUUGUAGUAUCAUUUUGUGUCUCAUGUUAUGACUGCCAUUUUUUUUCUCUACAACCUGUAAAUUUCGGAUUCAGUUUACUGAUCUCUGAAAGUCAUGUAUAACUUGGCAGAAAUGUUAUCCCUACAAAUUAGAACACCCUUAUUCUUGCAAGGUGGAUUACUACUUCCUUGGAUGUUUUCAGAAAAUAAGUGAAAUGUGCAGACCGACAACAUGGACGGCAGGUCUUGUGGCUCUCAGCACCCUCAACCCCCCACUGACCCUCUCUCAAUUUUGAUCUCUCCUCUACUCUUCUGGGUGGCGGUGAGAGCGGGUGUGAACCGGGAGAGGCGGGAGAGGCGGCCAUAGGAGAUAUAUGAUAGGAAAAGAAUUGCUCUAUGGCGCAAAGGGCGAGAGGGAGCCAACUAUGAUAGGAAAAGAGGAUGCAUGUAGGUAAUCGCAGGGUGGAUGCUUAAUGUUGCUUAUUCAGCAGGGGCUAUCAACCUGUGAUUAUCUACAUGGUAUAUCUAGCCCAUCAAGGUCCUGCACAUGGUAUAUCUAGCCCAUCAAGGUCCUCCAUGGCCAUCGACUUGCUUUCUGCUCGGGCAGGAUUAGAUGCAACCUCCUGUUUGUGAUGCAGUGCCGCCAAAGGCUCGGAUGUAGGUGCGAGUCAACAAUGCCAGUAGUGAGUCGAGAGAAGUGGAGAAGAGGGUCCCUCCAGGCUCCAUACAUGAAUGGUGUAUGUCGAAUGUCUCGGGUAAACUUUUGCUUUUCCUUCAUUUCUUCAUCUUCGAGUCAACAAUGCCAGUAGUGAGUCGAGAGAAGUGGAGAAGAGGGUCCCUCCAGGCUCCAUACAUGAAUGGUGUAUGUCGCAUGUCUCGGGUAAACUUUUGCUUUUCCUUCAUUUCUUCAUGUUCAGUUGAAGAAUCGUCCCUCCACUGUCAUCUUGAAGGGUGGCAUGCGGCAAUGUCGGGGAAAGCAAGGAAGAUGUUCUUGUACAUCAUCGAACAUAUAAACCCUGGUGGCCAAACUAAAUGUUUUAUAUUCCUUUGGGAAACUUUUAAGGAAAUCCCCCCAAACAAAUCAUUCAGGUUAGAAGGAACAACUUUCACAUAGAAAGCACAUUGUAUCAAACUUCAGAUAAGUCUUGAUGCACCCUUCAGGCUGCAUGAUUAAUGCCUGUAAUUUACCUAAGCUAUCAACAAAUGGUUGGUUGCUGAGUUUACAUGCAGUUAUGAAAGUUAGAGCACAUACAUGCUUGAUUUUACUUCCUUUAAUACAAGGCAUUCUAUAAUUACUAAGAACUGAUUUGUUGAAGUGUGCCUCCCUAUUUUGUCCAGAUAACUACUUCAGGUUAGGCGGGAGAAAUAAAAAGGGUAACCAUAGAUAUAUGGUCUAGCAUCACGAGGUUCAGGUUCCUGCUUUUGAUCAACCAUUGCUUCGCUCGAGAGAUUAAAGAAGACUGAAAUAUGGGCUCAAGUGAUUGCUAUGUCUGACCUGCACAAGAAUGCCAAGAAGUCCUCGGAGACGAUGAAGGACAUGUACCUGCACUAUAACGAGAGAUCUGGGCUGCUUCUUUGUGGCUUUCAAACUUGAAAUGUUUGUUUGGAAGUUAGUUUAGUUUUUUGUUUUGGAUUCACAGCUUCUCACAUGUACCAUCCUCUUAGACCUUUAGAUUUCCAAAAAAACUAAAUGAAGAUAUGGUGGUAUGGUCUCAAUAGUACAACUUAAAUAGUUCCAUGCUUUAUAUUUGCUCUCAAAUUUGCUCUUGAAGAAUCAUGUAUCUAUGUUAGAUCCGGUGAGCUUUAUAAUUGCUCUGAAAUUUGUUCUUGAAGAAUCAUGUAUCUGUAUUAGAUCCGGUGAGAAAAUGCGUCUUCCAAGCAGAGGAUGCGGGAGUGUUGGCCACAUUUGAUUUU
Triticum dicoccoides is the source of this 4150-nucleotide long non-coding RNA. RefSeq lists it as uncharacterized. NCBI's taxonomy places the organism in Eukaryota, Viridiplantae, Streptophyta, Magnoliopsida, Poales, Poaceae. The transcript has 9 exons. The record is from RefSeq and is a predicted model, not a curated record.